This is a long non-coding RNA of Ornithodoros turicata, 756 nucleotides long. RefSeq lists it as uncharacterized. The transcript is spliced from 3 exons. NCBI's taxonomy places the organism in Eukaryota, Metazoa, Arthropoda, Arachnida, Ixodida, Argasidae. The record is from RefSeq and is a predicted model, not a curated record.
CGUGCGUCUCUCUCUGCUUGUCGUGCAGAGACUUGUUACGGUCUGUUGGACCGCUGAAUAUUAUUUUCUCCCAACAGUAACGUUUUUCAGCAUGCUGAGGUGUAAUGAAUGCGACGACUGCAAGUCAUAUAGCUGCGUGUCCUACCACUAUGUACUCAAGAAUAGUCUGGCUUUAAUCGCACGCACUGCAGAUGACGAAGGUGAUAAUUUCCCCUGAAAGGCCAGCAUAGCUUGGCAUGACAUUUAAGUGACAAACUGUGAAGAUGGUGUGAAGGAGGUCCCCUGCCCUGGUAAGUUUCAGUGGGGUAGGUACUACUGCUGUUCUGUAUUAAUAUUUCAUUCAUAUGUAUCCCGUUGAUCAUAUGUGGUGUCAGUGUUGAGUUAUAAUGCUGUUGUUAGUAAGUUUCAGAUUGACCAGUGGUGUGCACAGCACAGUGGAAAAGACGAUGAAAUAGCGCUGCUCCACCUCCACAAAGGAAGAAAGUACUAUGCAAAUUGCAAGGAAGAGAAGGGCAACAGUUGAACAAAAUGAUUAUUUCACAGCAGAAGUAAUUUAUGUCUUUGCUCAUCUGGUGAGGGAGAUCAAUCUGACCUGUUCACUUGUGUAAGUCCUUACUUUAUUUCAUGUGCUUUAUAAUAGAUAUACAGCAAAGUGCGCACACAUACCUAUUUUAGGAAAGCUGCAACAGAUGAACAAGCUGGAGAUUUACUCGCACACCAAUAUGCUCUUCCCAAACACUGAUUUCUACAGGUCUG